AGUGAACGCUGGCGGUAGGCCUAACACAUGCAAGUCGAACGGCAGCACAGUAAGAGCUUGCUCUUACGGGUGGCGAGUGGCGGACGGGUGAGGAAUACAUCGGAAUCUACUUUUUCGUGGGGGAUAACGUAGGGAAACUUACGCUAAUACCGCAUACGACCUACGGGUGAAAGCAGGGGAUCUUCGCACCUUGCGCGAUUGAAUGAGCCGAUGUCGGAUUAGCUAGUUGGCGGGGUAAAGGCCCACCAAGGCGACGAUCCGUAGCUGGUCUGAGAGGAUGAUCAGCCACACGGGAACUGAGACACGGUCAAGACUCCUACGGGAGGCAGCAGUGGGGAAUAUUGGACAAUGGGCGCAAGCAUGAUCCAGCCAUACCGCGUGGGUGAAGAAGGCCUUCGGGUUGUAAAGACCUUUUGUUGGGAAAGAAAAGCAGCAGGUUAAUACCCCGCUGUUCUGACGGUACCCAAAGAAUAAGCACCGGCUAACUUCGUG
This 492-nucleotide ribosomal RNA is filed under the name uncultured bacterium. RNAcentral's name for it is "partial 16S ribosomal RNA". It matches the Rfam family "Bacterial small subunit ribosomal RNA", at positions 29 to 507 of the family's 1533-position model. The record is from RNAcentral.